GACGAACGCUGGCGGCGUGCCUAAUACAUGCAAGUUGAGCGCUGAAGGUUGGUACUUGUACCAACUGGAUGAGCAGCGAACGGGUGAGUAACGCGUGGGGAAUCUGCCUUUGAGCGGGGGACAACAUUUGGAAACGAAUGCUAAUACCGCAUAAAAACUUUAAACACAAGUUUUAAGUUUGAAAGAUGCAAUUGCAUCACUCAAAGAUGAUCCCGCGUUGUAUUAGCUAGUUGGUGAGGUAAAGGCUCACCAAGGCGAUGAUACAUAGCCGACCUGAGAGGGUGAUCGGCCACAUUGGGACUGAGACACGGCCCAAACUCCUACGGGAGGCAGCAGUAGGGAAUCUUCGGCAAUAGACGGAAGUCUGACCGAGCAACGCCGCGUGAGUGAAGAAGGUUUUCGGAUCGUAAAACUCUGUUGGUAGAGAAGAACGUUGGUGAGAGUGGAAAGCUCAUCAAGUGACGGUAACUACCCAGAAAGGGACGGCUAACUACGUG
This 497-nucleotide ribosomal RNA is filed under the name uncultured bacterium. Its description in RNAcentral is "partial 16S ribosomal RNA". It matches the Rfam family "Bacterial small subunit ribosomal RNA", at positions 28 to 507 of the family's 1533-position model. The record is from RNAcentral.